Molecule: ribosomal RNA, 253 nt
Filed under: uncultured prokaryote
Description: partial 16S ribosomal RNA
Rfam family: Bacterial small subunit ribosomal RNA
Source: RNAcentral
ACGGAGGGGGCUAGCAUUGUUCAGAAUUACUGGGCGUAAAGCGCGCGUAGGCGGUUCGUUAAGUCUGUCGUGAAAUCCCCGGGCUCAACCUGGGAAUGGCGAUGGAUACUGGCGAGCUAGAGUGUGUCAGAGGAUGGUGGAAUUCCCGGUGUAGCGGUGAAAUGCGUAGAGAUCGGGAGGAACAUCAGUGGCGAAGGCGGCCAUCUGGGACAACACUGACGCUGAAGCACGAAAGCGUGGGGAGCAAACAGGA